This 301-nucleotide ribosomal RNA is filed under the name uncultured bacterium. RNAcentral's name for it is "partial 16S ribosomal RNA". It matches the Rfam family "Bacterial small subunit ribosomal RNA", at positions 509 to 807 of the family's 1533-position model. The record is from RNAcentral.
CAGUCGCCGCGGUAAAACGAAGGGGGCUAGCGUUGCUCGGAAUCACUGGGCGUAAAGGGUGCGUAGGCGGGUCUUUAAGUCAGGGGUGAAAUCCUGGAGCUCAACUCCAGAACUGCCUUUGAUACUGAAGAUCUUGAGUUCGGGAGAGGUGAGUGGAACUGCGAGUGUAGAGGUGAAAUUCGUAGAUAUUCGCAAGAACACCAGUGGCGAAGGCGGCUCACUGGCCCGAUACUGACGCUGAGGCACGAAAGCGUGGGGAGCAAACAGGAUUAGAUACCCGCGUAGUCCCUGUCUCUUAUAC